Molecule: ribosomal RNA, 577 nt
Filed under: uncultured Bacteroidota bacterium
Lineage: Bacteria; Pseudomonadati; Bacteroidota
Description: bacterial SSU rRNA
Rfam family: Bacterial small subunit ribosomal RNA
Source: RNAcentral
CCUACGGGAGGCAGCAGUAGGGAAUAUUGGGCAAUGGUCGCAAGACUGACCCAGCCAUGCCGCGUGCAGGAAGACGGCCCUCUGGGUUGUAAACUGCUUUKAUCUGGGAAGAAAAAGUCCAUGCGUGGAAAAUUGCCGGUACCAGAUGAAUAAGCACCGGCUAACUCCGUGCCAGCAGCCGCGGUAAUACGGAGGGUGCAAGCGUUGUCCGGAUUUAUUGGGUUUAAAGGGUGCGUAGGCGGCUGAAUAAGUCAGCGGUGAAAGACUUCGGCUUAACCGGAGCAGUGCCGUUGAUACUGUUUAGCUUGAGUGUUGGAGGGGUACAUGGAAUUGAUGGUGUAGCGGUGAAAUGCAUAGAUACCAUCAGGAACACCGAUAGCGAAGGCAUUGUACUGGCCAACAACUGACGCUGAGGCACGAAAGUGUGGGGAUCGAACAGGAUUAGAUACCCUGGUAGUCCACACCGUAAACGAUGAUUACUCGCUGUUAUGGUGUAAGCUGUAGCGGCCAAGCGAAAGCGUUAAGUAAUCCACCUGGGGAGUACGCCGGCAACGGUGAAACUCAAAGGAAUUGACGG